AUGCCUCAGCUGAGCGCGGGAUAUGUGUGGAGCUGCUGGGAGUGGAGCAGGACUCAGGGCCGAGGAGGAGAGCAUGGAGCAGUGGAGGAGAAACAGAUGAUCAGCCGAGAGCUGGAGGAGAGAGGUGGGCGAGAGUGGACAUGGAUGAGACUGCAUUGGAGAAACUGGCCGAGAUGGAGUCCGUGUCUGGCUCUGAUGUGCUUGGUUCUUCUGGAGGAGUCUCCUCUGCACCCCUCUGUCAGUCUGACUGAAGCCGCGGGUCGACUGCUCCUCGCUGGGCUGCUGUGUGCUGCCAUGGGCCUCUAUGCUCUAGCUUUCCAGUUCCCGCUCCGUUAUGAACAGAAAGUAAAGCAGCAUCUCCCAUGCAAUGGUGAAGUGAUAGUGAGACAAACUGCUGAAAACCAGCAAGCCAGCAUAAGUCCACAGCAGGACGCAGGUCAUCUUGAAUCCCAGGUCAGUGCUCUAGCGGAGGGUUUAGCGGUGUCCCUCCUGCAAGAGCCCCUGCCGGACCCCAGCGAGCCACACAUACGAGGCCUCCUCACCAGACUAGAGGCAGUGUCUCGGACUCUCCACAGGAAGAGUUAUGAGGAAGAAACCGAGGAAAAGGAGAAAUGUGCUAUUCAAGAUAUACGCUCUUACCUGAGGGACAGGGUGAGCGGUCUGCGCUCUCUGCUGCAGGUUCAGCGUGAGUGUGACGCGAGUGUGUGUGCGGUUCAGAGCGGGUUACAGAAGCGCUGGGCUCUGCUGGAGGAGUUACACACACGAGUGACUCUGAGGCCUGACAGCACCCAGGAAGCACACGACCCUCACACCGUCCUCACAGACACUGAGAGCCUGUUCAGUGAGCUCGGUCAGUUCAAAAGCAAAGUCCAACAGUGCCGAACACAGCUGGAAACCAAUAUAAACCUUUUACAGGGACUUCGCAGCAGUCAUCAGCAUCUCAACACGACUUUUGGUGCCACCACUGACUCUGUAUGGACCAAAGAGUUAUUACAGUCCAACACUGAUCUGUUUUCUGAGAUCCAUGAGGAUUUCAUGUCUUUGGAACAGCAGACGUCAAAUUUUGUGAUCCACUUGAGAGGCCUGAAGGCUUCUGAGGAGGAAAAGACAAAGUUAUCUGUGAAUCAGUCUCGACUGUCUCUUCCCGCUGUCCCUGUGUACGUUGCUGCUCAGGAAGCAUCGCAAAUACAUUCUGACCCAGAAAGUGACUCGGAGUCCCCAGGAGCCUCACAGAAGACCCACUCCAGAAUGUCGCCCUUCCAUAUGCUCUGUGGGGCGAGGAGGAGGAGGUCAUCGCCGUAGUUUUGACAAAAGUUGGAUGUUUUAACAGGACAUUUUAUUAAUGCCCGCCUGUUGAGCAGGUGUAACGGCAGUUUAUGCACUUUAUUCAGAGUUAUAAUAACUGGAACCGCUAUAUAGUGUCUAUACUGUGACUUGUGAUUUUCUACAUGUGAAAUGUGUAAAUAAGAUCUCAUGCAUAAUGAAUACAACAACAAUAAUAAUAUAUUACAUUAAAUAUAGUAUUGAUGGUUUUUAUUGAAAUGAAUAUUAGUAAUAUAUAAUAGAAUAAUAGAAAAGUUUGCUGUCAGAAGAUUUAUUUGAAAAUAAUGUAAAAACAGUAAUAUUGUAAAAUAUUACUUUUUAGAAGUAUAUUUUUUUUCAGUCACAUGAUCCUUCAGAAAUCAUUCUAACCUGCUGAUAUUGUGUUAUAAAAACACUAUCUUAUUAUUAUAUCAUCAAAAAUAAUAAUACUAGUAACUCUAGUCAAUAGUCAAUCACCUCAUAUGAUGAAAUCCUUGUAUUGUGACUGUGCUGUGACUUGUGAUGUUCUGCUUGUAAACUGUGUAAAUAAGAUCUUUCCUGAAUCUUAAUCAUCUUAAGCGCACAUUAAACGGACAAUUAACUGAAACAAACAGUAAAUACGGUAGUAGCCAUGGAGAGGUUUUUGUCUCUAUGGUCAUGCCAUGUUUGAGCACAAGAGGGCACAAUCCAAUCAAAAAUAAACAGCCAACUCCUUCACCA
Long non-coding RNA from Cyprinus carpio (common carp), 2022 nucleotides. The record is from Ensembl. Lineage: Eukaryota; Metazoa; Chordata; Actinopteri; Cypriniformes; Cyprinidae.